CCGAGAGCGUGGGGGCGUUAAGAUACAACACUUAGAUAAGUUGUCAUGGCUGAAAUUGAAGCGGCCAGAAAGAUGUGAACAAGCUGAAGCAAUAACAUCAAAUGGAUCCAAUCGAAAGCGGUCUCCAUCCUCCAAACAAGAGAAACUCUGUUCCUCCUGGUGAGGAAGGGACACUACUAAUAGUGAUCAGGAUUAUAGAGCACCAACACAUAAUGCAAGGGCAGCGGAUUUUACCAUGCCUCCAUCAACAAGUGCUGGCUGAGAAGAUCAUAAUGUGAACACAGAUUCCUGAGGCAAGGCCAAGGAGCUGAGAUUCGCAGCUGGCCAGAAGAAAAUUGCUUGGGAGCUGUUGCUAGCCUUGAGCUAUAGGUGCUAGUGCAUAUGGCUCACUUUUUCGGACUCAGAGGAGUUUUCUUCAGUUGUAGAAAUUUUAGCUUGGCUUUAUACCCUGUAGUAAUGAUGUUUUUGUGUUUGUAAAUUCUGUUAAUCCUAGGCAUUCAGAACAUCAAGGAAAGACUAUACACUGCCAUAAGAAAUAUAAGCUACCACCCUCAGGCCUGAAGCCUUGCCUACCUAUUUCGAGCUGUAUUUUGGUCUGUUUACCUGAAAUAACCAGUGAUGCCUACAGUAAGAAUUUUCAUGGCUGAUAGCUAACCUGUGACCUAACGUGUGUUUGCCUUGCUUUGCUUAGUCUGACUGCUCAAUGUGAUAACCCCAGAAUAAAAAUCGUUACAGUGCUUAAGGGAGCGCAGGGAUCUGUGUGCCCAGACUGGGGAACUGCAAUUAAAGCUUUGAAAAAAUGCUCUAAAAUGAGAAUCAUCCAAUGAUCUUGGUAGUUUGAUUCAUUUGCAGGAUAAUCCUCCAAGGGCAGCAACCUGAAGAGAAGCAGCUCGACCUGUUUUGUUGAUUUCAGUGAUGCUGUUUUAAGGAAGCAUGUGGCAGGAGAUGGUUCCCUCAGCAGAGAUGAUCAGCAGCAAGCAGAGGGUGCCAUCAGUUUGCCAGAUUCAGGUCAUGUCAGACACCUCUACAGUGACUGCACGCUGGCAUUGAGCCCAGUUUUCUGUUGGAUCUGUCUUCAUGUAAACUAGUAUCUUCCCUGCAUCAGUCUCACUCUGCUCAUCUUCCUCCUGUCUGCAGCAGCAGCCUGCACUCAACUUUGCAUUCUGACACACUGCUGUGUCACAGGGCUUUCAAGCAAGGUCUGUUUGACUUGGGCCACUUGUGUUUCCUCUUAGGCAGCCUCAGCAAAUGAAGCAAAACCAUCUUCCCAUCAUUGUCCAGGCCAGAGUCAUUAGCUCAGUCUCUUCAGAGUUUGGACUUUUUGAAGGCUGUAGUUUUAUCCUGUCUUGGCUGGAUUCUGCUUUCUGAGUGGUCUGGAGGUGACUGAAGACUUUGGAUGGCAUGAGUGUUUUGUGCCUGUGUUUUCUGUGGGAGAAAGGCUAUGCUGAGUGGAGAAGUGCAGAGGGGUGUGGGUGGAGGGCAGAAGAGGUGGCUUGGGUGGGCUGGCUUUCUCCACAGCUGGAGGCUCUGUGGAGAUCUACCGCCAGCCAUGGAGGACAAGCUCUGACUUGCAGCGUAGCCACAGCUGAGUUCUGGAACUCCAUCAUAUGUGAGCAGGGCUGGGAAGUGGAUAGUGGUUGUCCCCUAGGUGGUUAUAGGUGUCCCUGCCUGUGGAUGUUUGCCUAUGGAGCUGAGAGAAACAAAAAUACUAAUUGUGUGUAAUGCAGAUGAACUGGUGCUUGUGGUGUUUCAGGUAGGUUCAGUGCAGUUAAAUUGCAGCUUAAUGCAGUCCUGUGGAGUGAUUCUUGCAUAUGGUCAUGUUUGAGUGUUAGCUAAAUACAAGCUUAUAAACAGCAA
This is a long non-coding RNA of Dromaius novaehollandiae (emu), 1857 nucleotides long. RefSeq lists it as uncharacterized. The record is from RefSeq and is a predicted model, not a curated record. NCBI's taxonomy places the organism in Eukaryota, Metazoa, Chordata, Aves, Casuariiformes, Dromaiidae. The transcript has 3 exons.